RNAcentral lists this ribosomal RNA (777 nucleotides) under uncultured Neocallimastigales. Its description in RNAcentral is "partial large subunit ribosomal RNA". It matches the Rfam family "Eukaryotic large subunit ribosomal RNA", at positions 23 to 616 of the family's 3401-position model. The record is from RNAcentral. Lineage: Eukaryota; Fungi; Neocallimastigomycota; Neocallimastigomycetes; Neocallimastigales.
AAGAGAGAGACAUGCGCGCAUAUCAAUAAGCGGAGGAAAAGAAACUAACAAGGAUUCCCCUAGUAACGGCGAGGUGAAGCGGGAAGAGCUCAAAUUUGAAAUCUUAAAGGGUUUCCCUUUACGAAUUGUAGUUUAAUAGAAGUGUUUUCUGUUGAGGUUUUGGUAAAAGUUCUUUGGAAUAGGACAUCAUAGAGGGUGAGAAUCCCGUAUUUGACCUUUACUUUCAACUUUGUGAUACACUUUCAAAGAGUCGGAUUGUUUGGGAAUGCAGUCCAAAAUGGGUGGUAAAUUUCAUCUAAAGCUAAAUAUUGGCGAGAGACCGAUAGCGAACAAGUACCGUGAGGGAAAGAUGAAAAGAACUUUGAAAAGAGAGUUAAACAGUACGUGAAAUUGUCAAAAGGGAAGCGUUUGACACCAGUGUUGUUUUUCUGAAAAUCAAUUAAAGAACUGUUUAUGCUAAGUUGUUUAGACUUUAUCAGCUAACUGUUUAGUUUUGAGCUUUUCUUUAAUGCACUUUUCAGUUAACAAGUCAACAUCAAUUUCUUUUGCUGUAAAAAAGCUUGAGGAAGGUGGCUUGAGAUUCGUCUUAAGUGUUUAUAGCCUCUUGCCUAUGCAGUCGGAGAGAUUGAGGUCUGCAGCGUAGAUCCUUCGGGGCUAAAUGCAUUUGUGCUAAGUUAUAGCAUUUUAUAGACAACUUGUUGACUAUGAUUUGUCUUGUAGCUUACUCGCUUAUGUUAUUUUACCUACGCUUAGGAUGUUGAGCGCAUGUCUCUCUCU